RNAcentral lists this long non-coding RNA (1932 nucleotides) under Citrus x clementina. RNAcentral's name for it is "Citrus clementina (C. clementina) long non-coding RNA (CCLE_LNC002550)". The record is from RNAcentral. Lineage: Eukaryota; Viridiplantae; Streptophyta; Magnoliopsida; Sapindales; Rutaceae.
UAUUUUGAUAUUUUUUUAUUUUUACCAAUACUUAUAAUUUUAUAAUUCAAGUUUUAUUAUUUAUUUACUAGUAAUUUUAAAAAAUAAAAAUUAAAUUAAAAUUUAAAAUGGGGAAAUGGGUAGGGGAUGGGGAUUCCACCUCAUCUCCGUCCCCUCCCCGAAUAAGAAAUUGGGUAAAAAAAUUUCUCCGUCCUUUCCCCGAAUAAGAAAUUGGGUAUGAAAUUAUCCUCAUAUCCUCCCUGAAUAGGGAAAAUCCCCAAGAGUACCCGUCCCCGUGGGGAUUUUUGCCAUCCCUAAUCCCCACCCACUCCCCCCCCCCCCAAAUGAGUUAUGAAAAAUCAAGUUGAUGGAAUAUCUUUCCUUCUCGAUUUAAACUUAAUCAUGUCUUGUUUGUCAACUUAAUCAUCUAAUUGCAAAUUACAUGAACAUGGAUUAAAUAAGAUUAAUGCUGAUUGCAACUUAGCUGAAGUCCACAUGUACGUUAAAAAUCAGUAGGAGUAGGAGGUUUGGUAUUACGUAUAAUCAAAUUUGCAAGUUUCCUAAGCAGAAGAGAAAAUUUACAUUGAUUUUGUCUUGGGUGGUUAUACCCAAAGUUAAUCAAAGGUUGACUAAAUAAAUUGUCUUUAAAUAAUAAGAAAUCUUGUAAUUAAUUUUUCAAAUUAAAUUAUGAUUAAUCUGCUAGUAAAUUAUUAUUAUUUAAAUAGCAGCCAUGCUUAUUAAAUGGAAGUGAAAUGGGCCGUUGUCCAUCUUUUGCAUCUCGUUUUUCAAACAACUCUCCAUUCAAUUCAAAGGUCCUACCAAUACAAGUUGUGGAAAUAAUUGGGCCUUAAAGAUUUUGUUUUUUUAUAUGUAUGCUAUAACGUAACGGCACAACAUUUAAGCAUGAUUUUACUGCGUCUGCACGGCGGUCCUGGUGGAUUGGGACCAUUAUUAAAUGUUGACAAUUUGUGUCGACAUUUGGGGAUUAUUCUGUAAUUUCAACUUCACCGUGUGAAUAAAUAUAUGCUACUAGUACAAAAGAAUGUGAAAUACUACCAACAUUGGAUGCAUCAUGCAUGUGAGCUCGUAAGUUUGCAUUUAAAGAUACUAGCAUCACAUACAUCACUCAUAAGUUAUCAAUAAAUAAAUUUUAAUAUUUGUGUCGUUGAUGUGCGGGUGGUAAAAUAAUAAUUUUCAAUUAAAAAUAGCUGGUUAUAUUAAAAUCAGAGAUAAAUUAAAAAAUUAAAAUUAAAAUCAGAGAUAAAUUAAAAAAUAAAAAGACACAAGUUUAAUAUAGUAUAUUUUACCUUAUAGUAUACUAAAAUUUGUAUUCUUUUAUCUUUUAACUUAUCCUUAAUUUUAAUAUGGUUGGAAAUCUCUAAUUACAACUCUCUCUCCCCCUAUAUGUGUGUGUGUGUGUGUGUGGAGACAGAUUCAAGGGAUACAAUAUUAAAGAUAAUUUUAGGCAUAAUUUUUAACCAUUAGAUAAUUUAGAUUGAGACCAAAUAAACUGUGAAGAUUAGAUAUAUGAUUUAAUCAUAUUUCUUAAUUAGUUUUCUCUUUCUUAUUAAAACUCUCUCACACAUUUUACCCCUCUUUUUUUUCUUGUCCUAAAUUACAAUUUUUUUUUCCAUUUUACCCGUUUUUUUUUUUUUUGGUCCUAAGUCCCAUUUUUUUUUCUUCUCUUCCACCACUCGUUUCUGUACGACUCUUGAACUCAUGCUUAUGAUUAUAAUCAAGUCUUUUUUUCCCCCAAUAACCAAGAGUAUGAAUAAUCACUAGGUUUCCCCUUGGCUUUACUGGUCGAUUGUUGUUUGAAUAUUUAGGGUUUGUUUGGGAUUAAUGUUAGACAGCUAUAUCUUAGAAGUUACCGCAUUGAAGUGUUUGGUUAGUUGUUGUAGUUUAGAAGUUACGUUGAUAUAAUUUUAUACUUGUGUGAUGAAAGUUCUAUUA